CGAACGGGUGAGUAAUGCGUGACCAACCUGCCCCAUGCUCCAGAAUAGGCUCUUGGAAACGGGUGGUAAUGCUGGAUGCUCCAACUUGACGCAUGUCUUGUUGGGAAAGUGUUUAGUGGCAUGGGAUGGGGUCGCGUCCUAUCAGCUUGUAGGCGGGGUAAUGGCCCACCUAGGCUUCGACGGGUAGCCGGCCUGAGAGGGCGGACGGCCACAUUGGGACUGAGAUACGGCCCAGACUCCUACGGGAGGCAGCAGU
Molecule: ribosomal RNA, 256 nt
Filed under: uncultured Gardnerella sp.
Lineage: Bacteria; Bacillati; Actinomycetota; Actinomycetes; Bifidobacteriales; Bifidobacteriaceae
Description: partial 16S ribosomal RNA
Rfam family: Bacterial small subunit ribosomal RNA
Source: RNAcentral